Poecilia latipinna (sailfin molly) is the source of this 137-nucleotide long non-coding RNA. RefSeq lists it as uncharacterized. NCBI's taxonomy places the organism in Eukaryota, Metazoa, Chordata, Actinopteri, Cyprinodontiformes, Poeciliidae. The record is from RefSeq and is a predicted model, not a curated record. The transcript has 2 exons.
UCUGUUUGCUGCAGCGAGGUGGACUUGCCCAGCGUUGUUCUGCGCUGCUGUGGGCUGGAGUGCAGGGGCAGAGAGUUGAAGAGGAGGUUGAUUUGUUUUUACUCUUCUCCCCCAGAAUAAAAGAUUGCAUUGAUACC